CUCGGUGCGUGCCUAAUACAUGCAGUCGAGCGGACCGACGGGAGCUUGCUCCCUUAGGUUAGCGGCGGACGGGUGAGUAACACGUGGGUAACCUGCCUGUAAGACUGGGAUAACUCCGGGAAACCGGGGCUAAUACCGGAUGCUUGAUUGAACCGCAUGGUUCAAUCAUAAAAGGUGGCUUUUAGCUACCACUUACAGAUGGACCCGCGGCGCAUUAGCUAGUUGGUGAGGUAACGGCUCACCAAGGCAACGAUGCGUAGCCGACCUGAGAGGGUGAUCGGCCACACUGGGACUGAGACACGGCCCAGACUCCUACGGGAGGCAGCAAUAGGGAAUCUUCCGCAAUGGACGAAAGUCUGACCGAGCAACGCCGCGUGAGUGAUGAAGGUUUUCGGAUCGUAAAACUCUGUUGUUAGGGAAGAACAAGUCCGUUCGAAUAGGGCGGUACCUUGACGGUACCUAACCAGAAAGCCACGGCUAACUACGUGCCAGCAGCCGCGGUAAUACGUAGGUGGCAAGCGUUGUCCGGAAUUAUUGGGCGUAAAGCGCGCCCAGGCGGUUUCUUAAGUCUGAUGUGAAAGCCCCCGGCUCAACCGGGGAGGGUCAUUGGAAACUGGGGAACUUGAGUGCAGAAGAGG
Molecule: ribosomal RNA, 638 nt
Filed under: Bacillus licheniformis
Lineage: Bacteria; Bacillati; Bacillota; Bacilli; Caryophanales; Bacillaceae
Description: bacterial SSU rRNA
Rfam family: Bacterial small subunit ribosomal RNA
Source: RNAcentral